RNAcentral lists this long non-coding RNA (4362 nucleotides) under Lynx pardinus (Iberian lynx). Lineage: Eukaryota; Metazoa; Chordata; Mammalia; Carnivora; Felidae. The record is from RNAcentral.
UGACUGCCACGGGACCUUGGGCUCUUCGUGGUGUUCGGUGUCGUUUUCCCCCAAAUGCACCAUGUGGCCCAUGAGUCCUGGGAGCAGCUUCUCAGGAAAGAAUUCUGUGGUCGGGAGAGCCUGGGAAAAGUUGUCUCACGCUCCGUUGCAGAGACAAAAUGCACGUUAAUAAGUUCAUGGCUCAGGAGACAUCCUGUGAUAAGUAUCUUUGUUUCUCUUUACCAAACCUGGUGCUUCCUGAACUUAUUUGACUUCAGGGAGAAAAAAAGUUAUUAUUAGCAAUUCGCAGACCACCUUUUAACAUCUAUAGAGGACAUCUUUUGUUUUCACCUUCCCCGCAUGCUGCUUUCUUCCAAAGCCACCACCAGAUUUGCAUUGGAAAUGUUUACAGGACUCAGGUGGGGGCCAAGCUUGGAUGUGACUGUGACCCAGGAUGGGCCAAUCAUUAUAGCCCACCUCCUGGCCUCAGUAAUUGGUUGAUAGUGGAACACGUGACCCAAUUCGGGCCAAUGAGACACCUUCCUGAGACUUUUGGUCGGAACUCCUGGCAAAGAGAAGCUGUUUAUCCAUUGAGGGGGCCGCUGGGGGGAUGCAGGCUUGCAACGUUUGCAGGCUUCUGCUUGGAGAGAGCAUGCCGGUGAAUGAAGGCACCACAGAGGAAAGCAGUGUGGACCAAAUAGAAAUAGAAAUAGAAAAGUUGAGUUCUUGGGGCGCCUGGGUGGCUCGAUGGGUUAAGCAUCGGACUUCGGCUCAGGUCAUGAUCUUACCGCUCGUGAGUUUGAGCCCUGCAUUGGGCUCUGUGCUGACAGCUCGGAGCCUGGAGCCUCCUUCGGAUUCGUGUCUCCCUGUCUCUCUCUGCCCCUCCCCCAACUUGCACUCUGUCUCUCUCUCUCUCUCUCAAAAAUAAAUAUGCAUUAAAAAAAAUUAAAAAAUAAAAAGAAAGUUGGGUUCUGAUAGCCCACCUAAGCACCCGGAGCAGUGGUCCUGAAGCCAUUGAUUGCUUCUUUUUAAAAACAAUUUUUUAAUGUUUAUUUAUUUUUGAGAGACAGAGCACAAGCAGGGGAGGGGCCGAGAGGAGAGACACACAGAAUCGGAAGCAGGCUCCAGGCUCUGAACUGUCAGCACAGUGACGACACGGGGCUCGAACUCCUGAACUGCGAGAUUGUGACCUGAGCCAAAGUCGGAUGUUUAACCAACUGAGCCGCCCAGGCGCCCCAUGGAUCUCACUUUUCAAAGCCUUCUUAUUCCGGGGUCCGUAGCCCGAAAAGGUAUCCCCGGAAGAAAAGGGAGGGGAUCCCGGUCCCUCGUUGCUGAGAAACUCGGAAACAGGUGUGGCUGGGGUCAGAGGCCUAAAUAUUAUCGCCAACUUCUUUCUCCUCAGCUCUCCUUUCUGUGUGGCCCGUAGCUUUCGUCUCCUUGUGUGGUCAUGUGACAGGUCUAGCGGCUCGGGAUACAGACACCGUGUGUUUCCACACAUGCCUGGGGGGGGGGGGGCAGAGGUCCGAGCAUCUCCAGCAAAAGCCCUACACUCCCUCUAACUGCCCUGGCUUGGGACACAUGACUUCCGGAGCCAGUCGCUGGCCAGGAAGGUAUCCUGUGCCCACCGACUUAGGCCUGUGGUGUAUACUCCACCCGCAAUUCUGAGGUUCUGGAAAUGAGAAGGCACCCAAGAUUAGGGGCUAUUGCUGGUAGAAGGGGGGACAGCUGUUGAGAUGAAUUUGUUCCACAUUUAUUGUGUGUGUGCCACACUCAUUCUUUCAGUGAGUUUCACAACACACCUGUCUAAGAUAUGAGGGGCCCCUCUUGUGGAAAAGGAAAAAAGUGGGGACGCCUGGGUGGCCCAGCCAGUUAAGCGUCCGACUUGGGCUCAGGCCAUGAUCUCAGAGCUCGUGAGUGUGAGCCCCGCGUCGGGCCCUGUGCUGACAGCUCAGAGCCUGGAGCCUGCUUCCGAUUCUGUGUCUCCCUCUCUCUCUGCCCCUCCCCCACUCUCUCUCUCUCUCUCUCUCUCUCUCUCUCUCUCUUAAAAAUAAACAUUAAAAAAAGAAAAAAAGAAAAAGAAAAGGAAAAAGGUUCAGAGAGGUUAAGGAUGUGCUUAAGGUCACACAGCAAAUUCCAAAGUUAUUUAUGCAAGCGCAGCCUGCUUUAGGUGGGGGGAGGGAGGCGACGAACUGGUUAAAAGUUAGCACCAGAGGAGAAAACACAGAGGCAAACGAAAAGAGCCAUUCCACAGAGAGUGGAAUUAGGCUCCGCACAGGGACUUUUGCUCAAACUCGAGGGACUAAGGCUCUCUCUCUCUUCUGGGACUAGUCAACAGAGGACAGAGGAGCCUGGAGUGACCAGAGGCCACCAGGGGAAGGGCACCCACGAGAGAGAAGGCAGCACGGAGGUGAGUGGUGCCAGGUCGAGGAGAAAGCUUCUUGGGAAUGUGGGUUGGGGUCCUGAGUGUUCAGUUACUGGAGUUACUAACACCCUCCCUCACUUGGCUCAGCUCCAGCUGGACUUCUGUCGUUUGCAAAUGAAGGGGCCCUGACUCAUCGAGACAGGAUGCUGUGGCGCUUCGACCUUCAACGGGCCCACCGUCAGCCACUUACGUGUGUCGUGCCCUGCCAUGCACUCCACGUACGUUUGGUCCUUACUGUGACCCGAGUGAGCUCUUAUUGCCACCUUUGUACAAACGGGGAAACUGAGGCUCGGAGAGGGCACCAUGGCCAGACCCAGCAGGGCGCUGGCGCUCCCUCCCUGAGUGCCCGGGCAACCCCUGUUCCCGAGUGCCUCCUCUGUGCCCACCAGGUCCCUCCUCGGGCCUCUGUCCACCUCUGGCCCCGAGCGGGGUGGGCCACUCAGAACCCGCCCGCCGCCCCCGCCCCCGGCCGGGCAUCUCCUGGGCCGGCGGGGACUCCAGGGCCGGGCCUGAGCACAGUCCUUCUUCUCAAGGACACAGGGCUUCGUAAGCCCAGCGGGCGGACGCUCGGGGCAUCUGUGGCGUCGUGGGGGCUCUGAGAAAGAUGGGGAAGGGGAGGCCUCUGGUCUCCUUCCCCCAGGGCCCCUCUUGCCUGGGCCCGGCGGGGGGGGGGGCCGCCCCCCUUCCCCUCCCCCCUGCACCUGCGCGGGCGGGCCCCUGAGCUUUCCUCACCUUCUCCCAUCUGGCUCCCACACUCGCCAAUUUCUUUCUGUUUCCGGACGCUCCCCAACACCCCGUGCCUCACACCCCAACCCUGAUCGCCUCCCUCUCCCGCCUGCCGCUUUCAGUUUUGCCUCAGCUCUGGGGCUCCUCUCUUGCCUCCUUUGGCUCUGUGUCUUUGGGGCACCCCUCCCCUCUCUCUCUCUCUCUCCACCUCUGUCUGCCUCAAUCUGUUUCUCCUCUGUCUUGGAAUCUCUAUCUCUCAUCCGUCUCUCUGUCUCUGUGCGGCUCUCUGUCUCCGAUAGUCUCUCUGUCUCUUUCCUCUCUGUGCCUCCGUCUGUCUCUCAUCUCUCUGUGGUUCUCUGUCUCUCUCUGUGAUCUCUCUCUUGUUCUCUGUCUCCCUCCUCCUCUCCCUGCCCCUCCCUCCCCACAUCCUGAGUUGUCUUUGGGGAACCGGAAAUUUGGGGGAUCAGAGAGAUACUGGGAGGCUCAGCUGCUGCCGCCUAGAGAUAAUGCGUGGGGGGGGGGCGCUGGGGCUGGAUGGGGGUGGGGGAGCCCAGAAUCCCCUGCGUCUUCCUCCUACCCUGGUGCACGCAGAGACAGGCAGAGGAAUUAUGUCCCCUCCCCGGGCCUCGGCUUCCCCUUCUGUGGAGUGGGUCCGAUGAACCACCUCCCUCGUGGGGUUGGUGCGAGCGAGAAGAGAAGUUAAUCGAGAAGUUAAUCGAACAGCCUGGCCAGAGCAGGGGCUCAGGGAGAUUGGGGAUGAGGGACAGAAGCGAGGGCAUGUGCAGGGGAGUCGGCGGGUGAGGCUGACUGGGACUGAGAGGGGCUGAGGGGAGCGUGGCUCCCAGGUGCUCCUGAGCCCGUCUUUUCCCCUCCCUGCACCUCAUUCGUCAUCCCCUCUGUACCACAGUGGGCUUCCGCGUUCAACACCUGCUUGGUGGCACUUUCUCUGCCACACGUCUUGUCUAUACUCCCUGCUUGAACCCUCACAACACCCCUGCGAGGUGGGUACUGUUAUUAUUUUCCAGGUGGGGAAACUGAGGCACAGAGAAGUUGAAUGGUCUGCCCAAGAUCACGCAGCUGGGAACCCUCCACGGGACAGGACUCUGAAUUAGGCCGGUCGUGGCCCAAGUCUGGGGGUGCCGUAUAUGCGCCCAUUUGAAACAGAGGCAGCGUUGGGGCGCCUGGGUGGCGCAGUUGGUUAAGCGUCCGACUUCAGCCAGGUCACGAUCUCGCGG